RNAcentral lists this ribosomal RNA (642 nucleotides) under uncultured eukaryote. RNAcentral's name for it is "bacterial SSU rRNA". It matches the Rfam family "Bacterial small subunit ribosomal RNA", at positions 877 to 1533 of the family's 1533-position model. The record is from RNAcentral.
GGAAGACGCUCGCAAGAGUGAACUCAAAGGAAUUGACGGGGCCGCACAACCGUUGGAGUANGUGGUUNAAUUCGAUGCNACGCGAAGAACCCUUACCAGGGUUUGACAUGUCACGAAUCUUUUUGAAAAGAAAAGAGUGCCUUCGGGAACGUGAACACAGGUGGUGCAUGGCUGUCGUCAGCUCGCGUCGUGAGAUGUUGGGUUAAGUCCCGCAACGAGCGUAACCCUUGUUUUUAGUUGCCAUCAUUUAGUUGGGCACUUUAAAAAGACUGCCGGUGAUAAAUCGGAGGAAGGUGAGGACGACGUCAAGUCAGCAUGCCCCUUACACCCUGGGCUACACACGUACUACAAUGGUCGAGACAAAGAGCUGCUAACUUGUGAAAGUAUGCUAAUCUCACAAACUCGAUCUCAGUUCAGAUUGCAGGCUGCAACUCGCCUGCAUGAAGUUGGAAUCGCUAGUAAUCGCAGGUCAGCUAUACUGCGGUGAAUCCGUUCCCGGGCCUUGUACACACCGCCCGUCACACCAUGGAAGCUAGUCAUACCCAAAGCCGUUACCCUAACCUUGCGGAGGGGGGCGUUUAAGGUAGGGCUAGUGACUGGGGUGAAGUCGUAAGCAAGGUAACCGUAAAGACUGGAGAUCUG